AGAGACAGUGCUGCUUUCUGCAGAAAAGGUUAAUCCAGGCAGUUCGCACGGAAGUAAAAAAGAUUCAGAAGAGUCAACAUGGUGGCAGCAGCGAUGGAAUUCAGAAGCAAACCUCUCUCAUUCUGUUCUACCUCACAAGAGUGUGCUCUUUCUCUUAUAUUUGAAGGAGGACUCAAAUGUAAUUUCCUUCAGCUAGUAAAUACG
Molecule: long non-coding RNA, 204 nt
Organism: Lacerta agilis (Sand lizard)
Lineage: Eukaryota; Metazoa; Chordata; Lepidosauria; Squamata; Lacertidae
Exons: 2
Source: RefSeq, a predicted model, not a curated record